UCGAGUGGCGAACGGGUGAGUAACGCGUGAGGAACCUGCCUCAAAGAGGGGGACAACAGUUGGAAACGACUGCUAAUACCGCAUAAGCCCACGGCUCGGCAUCGAGCAGAGGGAAAAGGAGCAAUCCGCUUUGAGAUGGCCUCGCGUCCGAUUAGCUAGUUGGUGAGGUAAUGGCCCACCAAGGCGACGAUCGGUAGCCGGACUGAGAGGUUGAACGGCCACAUUGGGACUGAGACACGGCCCAGACUCCUACGGGAGGCAGCAGUGGGGAAUAUUGCACAAUGGGGGAAACCCUGAUGCAG
Molecule: ribosomal RNA, 302 nt
Filed under: uncultured bacterium
Lineage: Bacteria
Description: bacterial SSU rRNA
Rfam family: Bacterial small subunit ribosomal RNA
Source: RNAcentral